RNAcentral lists this ribosomal RNA (253 nucleotides) under uncultured bacterium. RNAcentral's name for it is "partial 16S ribosomal RNA". It matches the Rfam family "Bacterial small subunit ribosomal RNA", at positions 524 to 776 of the family's 1533-position model. The record is from RNAcentral.
UACGUAGGGUGCAAGCGUUGCCCGGAAUUAUUGGGCGUAAAGAGCUCGUAGGCGGUCUGUCGCGUCGGCUGUGAAAACCCGGGGCUCAACCCCGGGCCUGCAGUCGAUACGGGCAGACUGGAGUACUGCAGGGGAGACUGGAAUUCCUGGUGUAGCGGUGGAAUGCGCAGAUAUCAGGAGGAACACCGGUGGCGAAGGCGGGUCUCUGGGCAGUAACUGACGCUGAGGAGCGAAAGCGUGGGGAGCGAACAGG